Molecule: transfer RNA, 72 nt
Filed under: Theropithecus gelada (gelada)
Lineage: Eukaryota; Metazoa; Chordata; Mammalia; Primates; Cercopithecidae
Description: tRNA-Phe
Source: RNAcentral
GUUUAUGUAGCUUAAACCCGCCUAAAGCAAGACACUGAAAAUGCCUAGAUGGGUCCACACACCCCAUAAACA